Platichthys flesus (European flounder) is the source of this 1010-nucleotide RNA transcript. RefSeq lists it as uncharacterized. Lineage: Eukaryota; Metazoa; Chordata; Actinopteri; Pleuronectiformes; Pleuronectidae. The record is from RefSeq and is a predicted model, not a curated record. The transcript is spliced from 8 exons.
CGACUUUAAUCAACGUGAGGAGGGGCGGAGCUUGCAGUCAGAGCGAAUCCACCGCGGCAGGAGCACAAAAACACGCUGGAUGUGAGAAAAACUAAUUUUCACCUUAAUCAUAAAACUACACUUUAUUUCACAGAACUUUGUGGCUCUCGAGACCCUUUUAACCACAGUUUGAAACCACAGUCCUUCAUAGAGACGCACCCGGGCCCUGCAGGGCGACAACAGCGACCUCCACAGGCUCACCUUCAUCGCGUGUUUGACCUUCCCAGUUGACCAGUUGAGAGCGUUGUCACUAAAUCCCAGUUCAGAGAUGGCGAUGUUCAAAUUUGGAAACACCAUGGAUCCGUGCGGGAUUGUUUCCAAUGAGAGGGCACAGCUGCCGGAAGAAAUUGAUGAGAAAGGAAACCUUGACCCCGACCGAAUUGUGCAGUGCCCUUUUGACAAGAACCACCAGAUCCGGGUUUGCCGCUUCCCUUACCACCUGAUAAAGUGCAGGAAGAAUCAUCCAAAGCUGGCCAACGAGCUGAAAACCUGCCCUUUCAACGCUUGCCACCUCAUGCCCAAGAACGAGCUGACUCACCACAUUGAUACCUGUGAGAACAGAAUGUCUCUGGACCCUGGUGGCGGCGAUGAAGUCACCAAUGGACAUGUUGAAUGGCAGGUCCCGCCCAGCACCUGGGUAAACCCAAACCAAACCGAGGACUGGGAUGACGAGAUCGAUGAUCAUGCUCCCACAUUUAAAUGGGGUCAAAACAAUGGCUUGAAUCGAAAGUAAGUGUCCUGCUCCGCCAUCCUGCCUCAGAGCUCGUUAUCUCUGACAAGGAGCAGAAUGAUGAGGCCCGCCAUCGAGGAUCCAGGUCUUCCCACGGCCGCCGUUUAACCUAUAGAUUAGUUACACGUACUGUUCAGGCGCUUAGUUAAGGUUCUAUGUUUUAAAUUUGGUUUUAACGAGUUCAGUGUUUUUAAUUUCUACAAUUGUAUUGUUUUUUAUAUUAAAGUUGUUACAUUUGAAA